This 958-nucleotide ribosomal RNA is filed under the name Parahaemophilus parainfluenzae. RNAcentral's name for it is "Haemophilus parainfluenzae bacterial SSU rRNA". It matches the Rfam family "Bacterial small subunit ribosomal RNA", at positions 1 to 940 of the family's 1533-position model. The record is from RNAcentral. RNAcentral also lists the same sequence under 1 other name. Lineage: Bacteria; Pseudomonadati; Pseudomonadota; Gammaproteobacteria; Pasteurellales; Pasteurellaceae.
UUUAUGGAGAGUUUGAUCCUGGCUCAGGAUGAACGCUGGCGGCGUGCCUAAUACAUGCAAGUCGAGCGAACGGACGAGAAGCUUGCUUCUCUGAUGUUAGCGGCGGACGGGUGAGUAACACGUGGAUAACCUACCUAUAAGACUGGGAUAACUUCGGGAAACCGGAGCUAAUACCGGAUAAUAUUUUGAACCGCAUGGUUCAAAAGUGAAAGACGGUCUUGCUGUCACUUAUAGAUGGAUCCGCGCUGCAUUAGCUAGUUGGUAAGGUAACGGCUUACCAAGGCAACGAUGCAUAGCCGACCUGAGAGGGUGAUCGGCCACACUGGAACUGAGACACGGUCCAGACUCCUACGGGAGGCAGCAGUAGGGAAUCUUCCGCAAUGGGCGAAAGCCUGACGGAGCAACGCCGCGUGAGUGAUGAAGGUCUUCGGAUCGUAAAACUCUGUUAUUAGGGAAGAACAUAUGUGUAAGUAACUGUGCACAUCUUGACGGUACCUAAUCAGAAAGCCACGGCUAACUACGUGCCAGCAGCCGCGGUAAUACGUAGGUGGCAAGCGUUAUCCGGAAUUAUUGGGCGUAAAGCGCGCGUAGGCGGUUUUUUAAGUCUGAUGUGAAAGCCCACGGCUCAACCGUGGAGGGUCAUUGGAAACUGGAAAACUUGAGUGCAGAAGAGGAAAGUGGAAUUCCAUGUGUAGCGGUGAAAUGCGCAGAGAUAUGGAGGAACACCAGUGGCGAAGGCGACUUUCUGGUCUGUAACUGACGCUGAUGUGCGAAAGCGUGGGGAUCAAACAGGAUUAGAUACCCUGGUAGUCCACGCCGUAAACGAUGAGUGCUAAGUGUUAGGGGGUUUCCGCCCCUUAGUGCUGCAGCUAACGCAUUAAGCACUCCGCCUGGGGAGUACGACCGCAAGGUUGAAACUCAAAGGAAUUGACGGGGACCCGCACAAGCGGUGGAGCAU